Molecule: long non-coding RNA, 1091 nt
Organism: Leopardus geoffroyi (Geoffroy's cat)
Lineage: Eukaryota; Metazoa; Chordata; Mammalia; Carnivora; Felidae
Exons: 2
Source: RefSeq, a predicted model, not a curated record
GUUAAAGCGCAAGCGCAGAAAAGGCCGCUCCCGGUCGUCGGGACUAGAGCUGUGGGUGCCUUGGUGUCCUUGCACGCCCGUGGGUUUUGACACCGUCUGUGCGUGUUUAUGUAUACGUACACGUGCGGAUUUACAUUAAUAUGCGGCAUAAGUACUGCCCAAUUUGUCCUUUCUCUAGCCGUCCCCACUUAACGCUGAGAGAAGCAUUUCUAGGCAUGGUUCACGCUUCUUGCAUUUUUUUUUUCUUUGAACUGAAAACGAAAGAAACUCCUCGUUUCUUGAGUGGUUUCUGUAGCGGGGCUGAAACCGGAACGCCCAGCCUCUUUCUCUCGGUGAGGUGGGUGAGUCAGUAGUCCGCCCAUUUUUCACCCUGGGAACGAAGGCCAGCGAAGAGGUAAGACCAAACAGGUGAGGGACGCGGUCCCUUACUUUGUAACAAGACAACAAGCCCGCGGCCGGUCUGCCGGAUCCCGAACCGCCUUUGCACCCACUGGCAUUCUCUCAAGGUGCUCUAAGAUUGUUCUAGCAUUUCUCUGGGCGAUCUGGCAGGAAGUGCGGUUCUGAAAUGACUGGAGAAAUCAACACUCAAAUCUGUCUCAUUCCCCCAAACACGGGGGCACCUAGAGCUGUUCAAAAAAUGUGCCAAUUCCUUACACAACCUCGAGUCUCAUUUUAUUACACCAUCACUUCCUCGGGGCCUUCUCGCGGGGGGAGUGUGCGCUGCACCCCAAAGUGACCGAUACUGCCUGAGGGAUUUUAAAGUUCUUGGUCUACUGCAGAGUCCUGUAAAGUGUUAAAAUACCCAAGACCCUAAGUGCUCGCUUCCGCAGGCCGGGCGGGACUUGAGACCCGGCGGUAGGAGGGGCGCUCACUGCAGGCGGAAGCGCGCCCCAGGUGCGUGGAGGCUGACUGGGUUGCCGGCCUAGAGGCCCAGAGCGCCUCGGGCUUUUUGCUCUGAGUACUGUUUUCCCACGCCUCCAGCUUAGGAGCCGAAAGACUUCUCUCCAAAGGGCUUUUUGUGCAAGGACUCAGACCCCUGGAGAGUGAUCUCCUCUGAGCCCCUGGUGUGAAAUAAGCCUCCUGCCUUCCAA